CUAGCUACAGGCUUAACACAUGCAAGUCGAGGGGCAUCAGGAAGAAAGCUUGCUUUCUUUGCUGGCGACCGGCGCACGGGUGAGUAACACGUAUCCAACCUGCCCUUUACUCGGGGAUAGCCUUUCGAAAGAAAGAUUAAUACCCGAUAGCAUAAUGAUUCCGCAUGGUUUCAUUAUUAAAGGAUUCCGGUAAAGGAUGGGGAUGCGUUCCAUUAGGUUGUUGGUGAGGUAACGGCCCACCAAGCCUCCGAUGGAUAGGGGUUCUGAGAGGAAGGUCCCCCACAUUGGAACUGAGACACGGUCCAAACUCCUACGGGAGGCAGCAGUGAGGAAUAUUGGUCAAUGGGCGCUAGCCUGAACCAGCCAAGUAGCGUGAAGGAUGAAGGCUCUAUGGGUCGUAAACUUCUUUUAUAUAAGAAUAAAGUGCAGUAUGUAUACUGUUUUGUAUGUAUUAUAUGAAUAAGGAUCGGCUAACUCCGUGCCAGCAGCCGCGGUAAUACGGAGGAUCCGAGCGUUAUCCGGAUUUAUUGGGUUUAAAGGGAGCGUAGGUGGACUGGUAAGUCAGUUGUGAAAGUUUGCGGCUCAACCGUAAAAUUGCAGUUGAUACUGUCAGUCUUGAGUACAGUAGAGGUGGGCGGAAUUCGUGGUGUAGCGGUGAAAUGCUUAGAUAUCACGAAGAACUCCGAUUGCGAAGGCAGCUCACUGGACUGCAACUGACACUGAUGCUCGAAAGUGUGGGUAUCAAACAGGAUUAGAUACCCCUGGUAGUCCACACAGUAAACGAUGAAAUACUCGCUUGUUUGCGAUAUACAGUAAGCGGGCCAAGCGAAAGCAUUAAGUAUUCCCACCUGGGGAGUACGCCGGCAACGGUGAAACUCAAAGGAAUUGACGGGGGCCCGCUCAAGCGGAGGAACAUGUGGUUUAAUUCGAUGAUACGCGAGGAGCUUUACCCGGGCUUAAAUUGCAGUGGAAUGAUGUGGAAACAUGUCAGUGAGCAAUCUCCGCUGUGAAGGUGCUGCAUGGUUGUCGUCAGCUCGUGCCGUGAGGUGUUGGCUUAAGUGCCAUAACGAGCGCAACCCUUAUCUUUAGUUACUAACAGGUUAUGCUGAGGACUCUAGAGAGACUGCUGUCGUAAGAUGUGAGGAAGGUGGGGAUGACGUCAAAUCAGCUCGGCCCUUACGUCCGGGGCUACACACGUGUUACAAUGGGGGGUACAGAAGGCAGCUAGCGGGUGACCGUAUGCUAAUCCCAAAAUCCUCUCUCAGUUCGGAUCGAAGUCUGCAACCCGACUUCGUGAAGCUGGAUUCGCUAGUAAUCGCGCAUCAGCCUCGGCGCGGUGAAUACGUUCCCGGGCUUUGUACUCUCCUCCCGUCUAAGCCUUGGGAGCUCGGGGGUACUUGAAGUACGUAACUUAAAGGAUCUUCUUAGGGUAAAACUGGUGA
Molecule: ribosomal RNA, 1442 nt
Filed under: uncultured organism
Description: SSU rRNA
Rfam family: Bacterial small subunit ribosomal RNA
Source: RNAcentral